CACGUAGGGCGCAAGCGUUGUCCGGAAUUAUUGGGCGUAAAGAGCUCGUAGGCGGCUUGUCACGUCGGGUGUGAAAGCCCGGGGCUUAACCCCGGGUCUGCAUUCGAUACGGGCUAGCUAGAGUGUGGUAGGGGAGAUCGGAAUUCCUGGUGUAGCGGUGAAAUGCGCAGAUAUCAGGAGGAACACCGAUGGCGAAGGCGGCAUCCUGGACCAACACUGACGCUGAGGAGCGAAAGCCAGGGGAGCAAACGGG
Molecule: ribosomal RNA, 253 nt
Filed under: uncultured bacterium
Lineage: Bacteria
Description: partial 16S ribosomal RNA
Rfam family: Bacterial small subunit ribosomal RNA
Source: RNAcentral